Lepisosteus oculatus (spotted gar) is the source of this 2399-nucleotide long non-coding RNA. RefSeq lists it as uncharacterized. The record is from RefSeq and is a predicted model, not a curated record. NCBI's taxonomy places the organism in Eukaryota, Metazoa, Chordata, Actinopteri, Semionotiformes, Lepisosteidae.
CCAGUGAUCAUCUGAGCAGGAGGUGCUGCUGCACCACCAGGGCCCUUUACGAGCUGACAUCCCUAAUACACGCAAUUACACCAUUUAUCAAACCUCCUUCAGACGUUCCAAUCAACACAGCCACUCGCCAAAAGCCGAAGGGUCGCGGCAACUCGGAGUCUACCCCGAACGUGUGAAGGCUGGACUACAGCUUGGAUUGGGCUCCGCCGCUGGACACACGUACGGAAACACACGUCUUUGGAAGGCGGACGUCAGAAACGCACUCAAACGCGUGGAGACCAUGCAAACUCCCCACAGACAGGAGCUCCGCUCCACAAUCAAAGCCAGUGCCCAAGAACUAUGAAAGAGCUCCGGGACCGUGGACAGCUCGUUGUAAGAAGCCGAUAUCAACUCCAAAUACUUUCACUAAGAGGUGUACAAUCGCUGCUUGGUCGCCUAUGCCUGAAGCGGAUUUCCUCUUGAUCAAAACCACGCUGUUCUCUGGGGGCGGCUCGUAUCAGCAUCUCGCAAAUGAUCAGGUUUUGCUGCCUUCUUGCUUGACUUGCGACAUAACAGAAGCGAACAUCUUGCUUUUUUCGGUUUUCUGUUUUUCUCUCGCUAGUGGACAUUUCUUCAGCUCUAAGAGUUUACGCAAAAUGACAACAUUUCCCUUAGAUCCACGCGAGUGGAAAAACACGUUUGUUGCAAGCUAGAAAGUGUAAAGGUAACUGGAUGAACACCCCUAGUUAACUAGUUAUUUAGCUUCGGGUUUGGGUUUAGGACACAAUGGGUACACAGUGAAUGACUCUUACAGAAGCCAAGUUUUUAUUCUGUGCCUCUAGAGGAAAUCUGCGUUGCUGUGUGAAUUAUUGGAUUCGUUUCACACAGAUCUACACGACAAACAGGCUAUUUCGCGGUUGUAUACUCCGUUUUCGCGCGGGCUCACGACCUCUUAUGACCUGUGAGCUCCGUGUUAGCAAAACAAAUACCGCAUAGAAGAAAGAAAAAGUCCAAAAUGUGUCUUAAAAAUAGGAUUACUCUGGACGAAUUGAUACUUUUGCAUUCUUUAUUUUUUACUAGAUCUACUACAAUUACAACUACCAGAACAGUCGUGAUAGUAGCUUGCCUGGCUAGGACAGUCAUCCAUAGUAAUUGUAAGUUUUGGAAUGCCUUUCUCAGCACCUGAAUUGCAGGAGCAGGAGGAUAUGAUGAAUCAUGCAGUCAAGAAAAGUGACUUGUGUAAGAUGGCUGAAGAAUCUUGAAGAACCAAGCUAAAACAGAGAGCUUUGCCAUUUUUAAACGCAGGCGUCUAAGCACAGAGCUGGAAGAUUGUGCAAGCAGCUGAGGUCUUUCAUGGAGCUGAAGAAUCACAAUCAACACUUUUGUCUCCAGAGGUUCUGAUACACAGGUUUUACAUCAGGAAGAAGAUGAUACCUUGGAGUUUGCUGUUGAUGAUCUCAUUCGUAUGAUGAAAGACAUAGGGACCUCAUGUAAUGCUAAUGAUAAACAUUAAAGCAAAGAAGAAAGAUCUCUUCACUUAAAAAAGUGUAUCAAAAUGCUACGUUUGCUGAUUUGAAAAUGUCUUUUUUGUUUGUUGUUUAGUUUCAAGAAGAGUGCAUUCAGUGGCUGGAGGAAGAAUAUAAUCCCAUAUUAAAUUUUUAACACUUAAUGGUUCCAUUAUUUUAAAAAUGAGACAUUUUGACUUUGUAAAUAUGAACUAGUUUGUACAGGAAUGGAUUGAAAACAGGCCAACGAUUUGAAAAUUGUGUACCAAAGGUCAAAUAUAAGAAAUGAAUCAUAAUAAAUUAGGAACAACAGUCUCUGCCAUUGUCAGAAUUACAGACUUGACACACAAUUUAUUUGCACUUGAAGUUGGUGAAUCUGAGUUUGUCCAGGAGAUGUUUUCAUGAGUGAGAUACACAAAGAAAAUAUUAAUCUCUAUAAAAAGUGUUUUGAAUUUUCUAGGCUGUAUAUUUAUAAGACUCAGAUUUUAGGAUGUUUUUGAGAUAAGAUGCAGAGAUUUCUAUUUACAUGGUAGAACCAUUAUGCUGUGUGCAGUUGAACUUUCCCCACAAAAUACACAUUAUCAUAAAAUAUUGUAACACCCUUAUUUAAUUGUGUCGUGCAUAAAUCUAUUUUUCGUGGUUUAGUAUUUAACAUCAUUUGAAAUACAAGACAUUUUCUAAAGUAUAAAUAUUUUUUCAAUCACAAAGGAUUGCCAAUACUCUUGUUUCUGCCAUUAUAGUCAGGUAUUCCACUGCAUCGUGACACCACUGAAGUGAGCUGCAAACAUGUGCAGUUGAAAAACUAAUGAUUGUUGUGGUUUACUACAGCAGAUGCAUGAUCAAUUACAUUAUGCAACAGCACAGUUUGUUUUGCUGCUUUUUAAAAUAAAUAAAUGAUCCGGUUUAGACAGGAAA